Molecule: long non-coding RNA, 346 nt
Filed under: Salmo salar (Atlantic salmon)
Lineage: Eukaryota; Metazoa; Chordata; Actinopteri; Salmoniformes; Salmonidae
Description: lncRNA (ENSSSAG00000095955.1)
Source: RNAcentral
CAGUUUUUGUGUGAGGACACAGUCUUGUAAAAAAAAAAAAAAUCGGUUUCCUAUUGAACAUACUUCUUUCCAAAAUAAAUAUUCUAGUUUGAUUACAUUUUAGGGUGUCUGAGUAGUAAAUACAAAUGUAUUUUGACUUGUUGAAACAAAGUUUAAGGGGUAGAUUUUCGGAUUCCUUUCUCUGCAAGUUGAAUGAGUGGAUUACUCAUUGAUGGCGCCAACUAAACUGACUUUUUUGGGAUAUAAAAAAUGAUUUUAUCUAACAAAACUACAUGCUGGGACCCUCUUGAUGACAAAUCAGAGGAAAAUUUUCAAAAAGUGCAGGGUUCUUCCUUAUGGAGAAGGA